RNAcentral lists this ribosomal RNA (425 nucleotides) under uncultured bacterium. Its description in RNAcentral is "partial 16S ribosomal RNA". It matches the Rfam family "Bacterial small subunit ribosomal RNA", at positions 354 to 796 of the family's 1533-position model. The record is from RNAcentral.
GUGGGGAAUAUUGGACAAUGGGCGCAAGCCUGAUCCAACCAUGCCGCGUGAGUGAUGAAGGCCUUAGGGUUGUAAAGCUCUUUUGUCCGGGAAGAUAAUGACUGUACCGGAAGAAUAAGCCCCGGCUAACUUCGUGCCAGCAGCCGCGGUAAUACGAAGGGGGCUAGCGUUGUUCGGAAUCACUGGGCGUAAAGCGCACGUAGGCGGACCAUUAAGUCAGGGGUGAAAGCCUGGAGCUCAACUCCAGAACUGCCUUUGAUACUGAUGGUCUCGAGUAUGGAAGAGGUUGGUGGAACUGCGAGUGUAGAGGUGAAAUUCGUAGAUAUUCGCAAGAACACCGGUGGCGAAGGCGGCCAACUGGUCCAUUACUGACGCUGAGGUGCGAAAGCGUGGGGAGCAAACAGGAUUAGAAACCCCGGUAGUCC